UUUUCUCUAAAUCGGCAGUAAAUACAGCUGAGUAAAAUUAGCUUGGUUUUCUUCCUUCUUUUGUAACUGAACUGUUUUUAUUAAAAAUCCUAUUUGAAUAUGUAGAAAAAGUGGGGAUGUCCUGUAAUAUAUCGUAGCUUUUCUUGUUUACAGGGUGCUCACAAAGCAUGCGUCCCUUAGAGUCCCACGGAAAGGUUCUCAGUGCGCUCUCUAUCAAGUGCUCUGAGUCUUGAUAAAUUGGAGAAGAGCCCAAGAGAAAUUUUUCAUCCCUUGAUAUAAAAGGGAUCGGUGAAUUUUAACUUUGGAGUCCUCUAUGCUAAGGAUGCUCAGCUUACAGAUGGUGAAAUAUUCAGUAAUGUAUUUGCUGCAGCUCUGCGAACCCAAGCUUUGGGUUCCUUCUGUCCCACUGGGAGUUGCCCAAUUUGGUUGCAUCUGGUGAAAUUCACCCUGAGACCUUACAGAAGCAGCUGCAACUACGUGAGAGCCAUUUGCAGUUCUCUCCAGACACCUGGAGAAUGGGUGACGUUUCUGAGGAUCCGGCGAGCGUGCUUCUAUCAAAACUCAGUCUGUGAAAUUUCUGGGGAAAACCCUUCUGUGUCCUAAAGGGUUCAAACUCUGGUGAGGAUCCAGUUAUCAGGUGCUCACCUGGAUGGUUCCAGCUCCCAAAGGGAAAGACUCUCGUAUCCUUGUCGUCGGGCUCGGUGCUGUCCAAGAAGACACAGAGACUACAAAAACCAUAAGAAGCCAAAUAUGACUGCAGGGAAAAGAAGCUGGAGAGAACAGAAGACUCAUCACGGCGGGACAGCGUGAAGACUGAAAGUGUAAGAAGAUGUGGAGGGAAACAGAGAAUCUGACAGGAGCAGCGGACGCACGAGUGCACGAAUUUUGCUUUUUGCUUGGAUGUAAACGCAGGAGUUGAAAGGAAUUUGGGAGUGAGAAGGGACAUUUCAGAAGGAGAAGAAGAAAAAGAAGUUGUUGUUGUUGUUGCUACAGUCCUGGCAAAAGCUUUUG
Molecule: long non-coding RNA, 1011 nt
Organism: Melospiza melodia melodia
Lineage: Eukaryota; Metazoa; Chordata; Aves; Passeriformes; Passerellidae
Exons: 6
Source: RefSeq, a predicted model, not a curated record